UACAGAGGUCCCAAGCGUUGUUCGGAUUCACUGGGCGUAAAGGGUGCGUAGGUGGUUAGGUAAGUCCGAUGUGAAAUCUCCAGGCUCAACCUGGAAAUGGCAUUGGAUACUAUCUAGCUUGAGGAGUGGAGGGGGGACUGGAAUUCCUGGUGUAGCGGUGGAAUGCGCAGAUAUCAGGAGGAACACCGGUGGCGAAGGCGGGUCUCUGGGCCGUUACUGACGCUGAGGAGCGAAAGCGUGGGGAGCGAACAGG
RNAcentral lists this ribosomal RNA (253 nucleotides) under uncultured bacterium. RNAcentral describes it as "partial 16S ribosomal RNA". It matches the Rfam family "Bacterial small subunit ribosomal RNA", at positions 524 to 776 of the family's 1533-position model. The record is from RNAcentral.